UACGGAGGGGGCAAGCGUUAUUCGGAAUUAUUGGGCGUAAAGGGCGCGUAGGCGGCCCAGUAAGUCAGGGGUGAAAUCCCUCGGCUCAACCGAGGAAUGGCCUCUGAAACUGCAGGGCUUGAGACCGGGAGAGGGUAGUGGAAUUCCCAGUGUAGCGGUGAAAUGCGUAGAUAUUGGGAGGAACACCAGUGGCGAAGGCGACUACCUGGACCGGAUCUGACGCUGAGGCGCGAAAGUGUGGGGAGCAAAC
Molecule: ribosomal RNA, 250 nt
Filed under: uncultured bacterium
Lineage: Bacteria
Description: partial 16S ribosomal RNA
Rfam family: Bacterial small subunit ribosomal RNA
Source: RNAcentral